GUCGUCGAGAUCCAUUACGAUCCGUGUUGGUCAAGUCACUAUUGAAUAAAGUGUUGAUGAAAAUGAAUGUCAAAAAAAGCGCACUUCCUCAAUGGAAAUCAGUUAAGUGCGCCCAACAAGAGGGUGGGGUCGAGUGUGGCU
Long non-coding RNA from Spinacia oleracea (spinach), 141 nucleotides. RefSeq lists it as uncharacterized. Lineage: Eukaryota; Viridiplantae; Streptophyta; Magnoliopsida; Caryophyllales; Amaranthaceae. The transcript is spliced from 3 exons. The record is from RefSeq and is a predicted model, not a curated record.